Molecule: ribosomal RNA, 552 nt
Filed under: uncultured Aquabacterium sp.
Lineage: Bacteria; Pseudomonadati; Pseudomonadota; Betaproteobacteria; Burkholderiales; Sphaerotilaceae
Description: bacterial SSU rRNA
Rfam family: Bacterial small subunit ribosomal RNA
Source: RNAcentral
GGGCGGAAGCCUGAUCCAGCUAUGCCGCGUGCAGGAAGAAGGCCUUCGGGUUGUAAACUGCUUUAGACAGGGAAGAAAUCUUCUGGGUUAAUACCUCGGGAGGAUGACGGUACCUGAAGAAUAAGCACCGGCUAACUACGUGCCAGCAGCCGCGGUAAUACGUAGGGUGCGAGCGUUAAUCGGAAUUACUGGGCGUAAAGCGUGCGCAGGCGGCUUUGCAAGACAGAGGUGAAAUCCCCGGGCUCAACCUGGGAACUGCCUUUGUGACUGCAAGGCUAGAGUACGGCAGAGGGGGAUGGAAUUCCGCGUGUAGCAGUGAAAUGCGUAGAUAUGCGGAGGAACACCAAUGGCGAAGGCAAUCCCCUGGGCCUGUACUGACGCUCAUGCACGAAAGCGUGGGGAGCAAACAGGAUUAGAUACCCUGGUAGUCCACGCCCUAAACGAUGUCAACUGGUUGUUGGACGGCUUGCUGUUCAGUAACGAAGCUAACGCGUGAAGUUGACCGCCUGGGGAGUACGGCCGCAAGGUUGAAACUCAAAGGAUUUGACGGGG